GAUGACGAGUGGCGGACGGGUGAGUAAUGCUUGGGAACUUGCCUUUGCGAGGGGGAUAACAGUUGGAAACGACUGCUAAUACCGCAUAAUGUCUUCGGACCAAACGGGGCUUCGGCUCCGGCGCAAAGAGAGGCCCAAGUGAGAUUAGCUAGUUGGUAAGGUAACGGCUUACCAAGGCGACGAUCUCUAGCUGUUCUGAGAGGAAGAUCAGCCACACUGGGACUGAGACACGGCCCAGACUCCUACGGGAGGCAGCAGUGGGGAAUAUUGCACAAUGGGGGAAACCCUGAUGCAGCCAUGCCGCGUGUGUGAAGAAGGCCUUCGGGUUGUAAAGCACUUUCAGUUGUGAGGAAAAGUUAGUAGUUAAUACCUGCUAGCCGUGACGUUAACAACAGAAGAAGCACCGGCUAACUCCGUGCCAGCAGCCGCGGUAAUACGGAGGGUGCGAGCGUUAAUCGGAAUUACUGGGCGUAAAGCGCACGCAGGCGGUUUGUUAAGCUAGAUGUGAAAGCCCCGGGCUCAACCUGGGAUGGUCAUUUAGAACUGGCAGACUAGAGUCUUGGAGAGGGGAGUGGAAUUCCAGGUGUAGCGGUGAAAUGCGUAGAUAUCUGGAGGAACAUCAGUGGCGAAGGCGACUCCCUGGCCAAAGA
This 650-nucleotide ribosomal RNA is filed under the name Alteromonas macleodii. RNAcentral's name for it is "bacterial SSU rRNA". It matches the Rfam family "Bacterial small subunit ribosomal RNA", at positions 87 to 739 of the family's 1533-position model. Lineage: Bacteria; Pseudomonadati; Pseudomonadota; Gammaproteobacteria; Alteromonadales; Alteromonadaceae. The record is from RNAcentral.